AGAACGAACGCUGGCGGCGUGGAUAAGACAUGCAAGUCGAACGGGACUUUUUUUCGGUAGCAAUACUGAGAAAAGUUUAGUGGCGAACGGGUGCGUAACACGUGGGGAAUCUGCCGAGAAGUGGGGGAUAGCUCGCCGAAAGGCGAAUUAAUACCGCAUAUGAUCAGGGAAGACAUCUUUCCAACAUCAAAGCCGGGGCAACCUGGCGCUUCUUGAU
Molecule: ribosomal RNA, 217 nt
Filed under: uncultured soil bacterium
Lineage: Bacteria
Description: partial 16S ribosomal RNA
Rfam family: Bacterial small subunit ribosomal RNA
Source: RNAcentral